This 302-nucleotide ribosomal RNA is filed under the name uncultured bacterium. Its description in RNAcentral is "bacterial SSU rRNA". It matches the Rfam family "Bacterial small subunit ribosomal RNA", at positions 32 to 342 of the family's 1533-position model. The record is from RNAcentral.
AAUCAACGCUGGCGGCGUGCCUAACACAUGCAAGUCGAACGAGAAAGUGGAGCAAUCCAUGAGUAAAGUGGCGACCGGGUGAGUAACACGUGACUAACCUACCCUCGAGUGGGGAAUAACCCCGGGAAACCGGGGCUAAGUACCGCAUAAUAUCGCAAGAUCAAAGCAGUAAAUGCGCUUGAGGAGGGGGUCGCGGCCGAUUAGUUAGUUGGUAGGGUAACGGCCUACCAAGACGAAGAUCGGUAGCCGGCCUGAGAGGGCGCACGGCCACACUGGAACUGAAACACGGUCCAGACUCCUAC